GAUGAACGCUGGCGGCGUGCCUAAUACAUGCAAGUCGAGCGAACGGACGAGAAGCUUGCUUCUCUGAUGUUAGCGGCGGACGGGUGAGUAACACGUGGAUAACCUACCUAUAAGACUGGGAUAACUUCGGGAAACCGUAGCUAAUACCGGAUAAUAUUUUGAACCGCAUGGUUCAAAAGUGAAAGACGGUCUUGCUGUCACUUAUAGAUGGAUCCGCGCUGCAUUAGCUAGUUGGUAAGGUAACGGCUUACCAAGGCAACGAUGCAUAGCCGACCUGAGAGGGUGAUCGCCCACACUGGAACUGAGACACGGUCCAGACUCCUACGGGAGGCAGCAGUAGGGAAUCUUCCGCAAUGGGCGAAAGCCUGACAGAGCAACGCCGCGUGAGUGAUGAAGGUCUUCGGAUCGUAAAACUCUGUUAUUAGGGAAGAACAUAUGUGUAAGUAACUGUGAACAUCUUGACGGUACCUAAUCAGAAAGCCACGGCUAACUACGUG
Molecule: ribosomal RNA, 497 nt
Filed under: uncultured bacterium
Lineage: Bacteria
Description: partial 16S ribosomal RNA
Rfam family: Bacterial small subunit ribosomal RNA
Source: RNAcentral